This 210-nucleotide ribosomal RNA is filed under the name uncultured bacterium. RNAcentral describes it as "partial 16S ribosomal RNA". It matches the Rfam family "Bacterial small subunit ribosomal RNA", at positions 28 to 235 of the family's 1533-position model. The record is from RNAcentral.
GAUGAACGCUAGCGGCAGGCUUAAUACAUGCAAGUCGGAGGGGCAGCAUAAGUAGCAAUACUUGAUGGCGACCGGCAAACGGGUGCGGAACACGUACAGAACCUUCCUUCGAGCGGGGAAUAGCCCGGAGAAAUCCGGAUUAAUACCCCAUAGUAAAUUGGAAAAGGCAUCUUUUAAUUUAAAGAUUUAUCACUUGAAGAUGGCUGUGCG